GAUUCAUCCAGGGUCAUUGCCAGCUCCACCGCUCUUUUCUGACUGGAAGGAUCUAAAUAGUACAUCAUUUUGGCAGCUGAUAACCUAUGCGGUAGCGAGUCAUAGUUCUUUUUAAGGAAAGCUUCAUUGAAGUUCUUUGGAUUAGUUGCUCCAAAAAGCCGAUUCAUUUCUUGGUUUAACACUGUUCUAACUGCAUCAGGCAGAUCCUUACUUUCAGAUACACUGCUGAAGAGAUGAAUCAUACACUCGUGAAGCCAAGGAUGACUGGAAUCAAUAGCAAAAGCUCUCUUCACAGACUGAAGCAUCAGAAGGAACUUCUCUUUUCGAAAAUAAAUCUCGAAGGCAAAGAGAUGCGUCUCUAUUUUGUUCUUCACUAAAUUCUUCAGGGGGGUUAAAAAUUUAAUGGCUUCUUCCAAAGGUGCUUCAACCUUGGCCAAUUUUUCAGGAAUAAGUUCUUCUUUCGGGCCUCCAAUUUCUUCAUCAUCAUCAUCUUUCUUCUUUUUCUGAUUCCUCUGUUGCUUCUCUUUCUCAGCAUUCUUCUUCUCCUCUUCCAGCUGUGCUUUCUUCUGUGCUCUUCUCUGCUUAUUUCGUAGCUUCUUUAGCUCCUUAUCAGACAUAUUUGCUGUAUCAGCCUCGUGUUCUUUAUUUUCAUCUGUUAAGGGAUUAUCAUGAAGCUUCAAAUAUAUCUCUAUGGCAAUCCGCGCUGCUUUGAAGUAGAAUGGAUGUUGCCGAAGUACAUCUUCUAGUUUUAACAAGUCCACAUAAGACCUAAGAGUAAUCUUCCUCAUGCAGUAAGUGUGGAAGUCAAACUGGUCAUCUGUGAUUUCUACAAAAUGUCUCUCAAUUUCAUGGCAUUUCUUAAGUGCUUCUCCAAAUUUAUUCAUUGCUUUGUAAGCCUGAGCACAUUCCGUCUGAAACCACAUGCACUGCAUUUCAUUCAAGUUCUCUACUGCCGAGGUUCCUUCCCUCGUAAAUUUAGAACACAUUUCUUCUGCUUCUUUAAUAAAGUUUGCUUUCAACAUGUAUUUUGCACAUUUGGAGUUGAUAAAUCUGUCUGCUGUGUCCAAAGCCUGAGCCUCAUCCAUCCACCUUGCAGCUUCUUU
This 1103-nucleotide long non-coding RNA is filed under the name Gallus gallus (chicken). The record is from RNAcentral. Lineage: Eukaryota; Metazoa; Chordata; Aves; Galliformes; Phasianidae.